UACGUAGGGUGCGAGCGUUAAUCGGAAUUACUGGGCGUAAAGCGUGCGCAGGCGGUUGAGUAAGCUUGAUGUGAAAUCCCCGGGCUCAACCUGGGAACUGCAUUGAGGACUGCUCGGCUAGAGUACGGCAGAGGGAGGUGGAAUUCCACGUGUAGCAGUGAAAUGCGUAGAGAUGUGGAGGAACACCGAUGGCGAAGGCAGCCUCCUGGGCCUGUACUGACGCUCAUGCACGAAAGCGUGGGGAGCAAACAG
RNAcentral lists this ribosomal RNA (252 nucleotides) under uncultured bacterium. RNAcentral describes it as "partial 16S ribosomal RNA". It matches the Rfam family "Bacterial small subunit ribosomal RNA", at positions 524 to 775 of the family's 1533-position model. The record is from RNAcentral.